RNAcentral lists this unclassified non-coding RNA (313 nucleotides) under Hevea brasiliensis (rubber tree). The record is from RNAcentral. Lineage: Eukaryota; Viridiplantae; Streptophyta; Magnoliopsida; Malpighiales; Euphorbiaceae.
AUUUGUUUAUUUCACUUCUCUCUUCAAUUUUGUGCACUCGAACAGAAGAUGCAAAAGAUUGCAACUCUUUCGAGGUUGUCAGAUGAUACGAUUUGAGAUUAACACCAGUGCAUGGGAAGCAAAUCAUCUUCUGAAAUCGAGUUCAAGAUUGAUUGUUUUCUCGUCGCAUACCCUUGCAAUAACCAGGUUUGGAUGCUGAUUACUUCUCAAUCUAAUAAGUGAUGCUUCAUAGUUUUAGUGUAGAACUUUUUGUAUAGAGUAAAGACAAAUUCAUGGAUUUUGUAAUUUUAUCUUACCAUUUUGUUUAAGUGCA